UGGGGAAUAUUGCACAAUGGGCGCAAGCCUGAUGCAGCCAUGCCGCGUGUAUGAAGAAGGCCUUCGGGUUGUAAAGUACCUUCAGCGGGGAGGAAGGGAGUAAAGUUAAUACCUUUGCUCAUUGACGUUACCCGCAGAAGAAGCACCGGCUAACUCCGUGCCAGCAGCCGCGGUAAUACGGAGGGUGCAAGCGUUAAUCGGAAUUACUGGGCGUAAAGCGCACGCAGGCGGUUUGUUAAGUCAGAUGUGAAAUCCCCGGGCUCAACCUGGGAACUGCAUCUGAUACUGGCAAGCUUGAGUCUCGGAGAGGGGGGUAGAAUUCCAGGUGUAGCGGUGAAAUGCGUAGAGAUCUGGAGGAAUACCGGUGGCGAAGGCGGCCCCCUGGACGAAGACUGACGCUCAGGUGCGAAAGCGUGGGGAGCAAACAGG
RNAcentral lists this ribosomal RNA (429 nucleotides) under Fusobacteriota bacterium. RNAcentral's name for it is "Fusobacteria bacterium partial 16S ribosomal RNA". It matches the Rfam family "Bacterial small subunit ribosomal RNA", at positions 355 to 776 of the family's 1533-position model. Lineage: Bacteria; Fusobacteriati; Fusobacteriota. The record is from RNAcentral.